AGCAUUGAUCUCUCUCAUCAUCCGCUGUAUUGUUACUAUUAUUGUUGCAGUUAUCCCCUUGGCCCACUUUGUCAUAGGUGCUGAGUGCUUCAAUGACUGCCCUGUAAUGUUCUUCAUCCCUAUCUACCUGAUAGGGUUGGGAUGUUUUUAUGUAGUCCUGAUGUUACUGUCUACGUUUAUGGCCAUCAAAGACUGCCAAGAGUUCUGCUCAUCGGUCGUAAGGAUCAGUCUGGUCAUUCUAAUGUUCUGGAUCUUUGCUGGUAGUGGGGUUGUUUUCGCUGUAUUUCAAACGACAAGCUACAACCCGACCCUCAGCGACGGGAGCUCCAACCAGACCAUUGCCAACGAGAGCUACAACCAUACCUUCUGCAGUGGGAGCAACAACCAGUCCAUCACCAACCCAGAGUACUGCAACAAAACUCUAUACCUGUUUGCAUUCUCUACCUGUCUGAUAUGGAUCCUUGUGGUUGUUCUGUUAACGGUUGGCCUCAAGUUCUAUGGAUACAGCAGAAUUGGGAUGAUCUUUAAGUGCUUGGGAUUGUGGUUGUUAGGUCAUGACCAUAUUUAUUUGUGUAUUUAUUUGUGUUUCGAAGAGUCUACUAUACGACACAAUGGCGCUUUAGUUGUUGUUUAAUCUUUGUAUUACAUUUUUUGGGGGAUGAGAAAACAACUUCAGAGAAGCUGGAAGGACUAAAAGCAGAUAGAAAGUAUGUAGAAAUGAUAAUGGAUCUAUAUACCUUUAAAUCAUUUUGUCUUUAAUCGUCUUUUCAAGGCAUGUGUGGUUGAUUAUGCCUGAUUCAAAAUGAUUAGAGGAAAAAGUGUUUAUUUACAGUUGUGCUUUCAUUCUUUGCACUCUACCUUUUGAU
Molecule: long non-coding RNA, 866 nt
Organism: Coregonus clupeaformis (lake whitefish)
Lineage: Eukaryota; Metazoa; Chordata; Actinopteri; Salmoniformes; Salmonidae
Exons: 3
Source: RefSeq, a predicted model, not a curated record